RNAcentral lists this long non-coding RNA (635 nucleotides) under Homo sapiens (human). Lineage: Eukaryota; Metazoa; Chordata; Mammalia; Primates; Hominidae. The record is from RNAcentral.
GCAUUCUGGCGGUGCCGGGAGCGGGGCGAGGAGGAGGGUGGGUAUGAGGCGGUAGCGGACCGCGGAGUCGAGACCUACCCGAACGACGCGGGCGAGCGGGGCUUUGGACGCCGGUGGAGACGCAGGCGAGGGCUGCUGUAAAAUAUUACAGGCAUACUUUGGAGAUGUUAUGGGUUUGGUUCCACAUCACUGCAAUAAAAUGGAGCCUCGCUCUGUCGCCAAGACUGGAGUUCAGCGGCACGAUCUCGGCUCACUGCAAGCUCCACCUCCGAGGUUCACGCCAUUCUCCUGCCUCAGCCUCCCAAGUAGCUGGGACUACAGGCGCCUGCCACCAUGCCCGGCUAAUUUUUUUUUGUAUUUUUAGUAGAGGCGGGUUUCACCGUGUUAGCCAGGAUGUUCUCUAUCUCCUGACCUCGUGAUCUGCCCGCCUUGACCUCCCAAAGUGCUGGGACUACAGGCGUGAGCCACCGCGCCCGGCCUCGUGUGAUUUUUAACAAAACUUUAAAAUUUGGAAUAAUCAAUAACUUCAAAUCCAUAGGAAGCUAUAAAUAUAGUACAGAGAAGUCCUGUGUAUUCUUCUAGUUUGCUUAAUGGUUACAUCUUACAUAACUAUAAUAUAAUGUGAAACCAGGAAA